GUGACAAUAACUGACGGACUGGAGCGUCAACCGGCCAGUAGAGAAGCUAUACUGGAGAUGCGUGCUUCGCGCGCCUUAUCUCGCCAACACGCUCGCUGGCGAGCGGGAAAGAGAGAGAGAACCACAGGUAACCCUUGCUGACUAGUAUCCACAUGCUAAACUAAAUAAGAAUAUUGACUAUUGGUGACAAUAACUGACGGACUGGAGCGUCAACCGGCCAGUAGAGAAGCUAUACUGGAGAUGCGUGCUUCGCGCGCCUUAUCUCGCCAACACGCUCGCUGGCGAGCGGGAAAGAGAGAGAGAACCACAGGUAACCCUUGCUGACUAGUAUCCACAUGCUAAACUAAAUAAGAAUAUUGACUAUUGGUGACAAUAACUGACGGACUGGAGCGUCAACCGGCCAGUAGAGAAGCUAUACUGGAGAUGCGUGCUUCGCGCGCCUUAUCUCGCCAACACGCUCGCUGGCGAGCGGGAAAGAGAGAGAGAACCACAGGUGGACGCACAGAGCGCUGUGAAAACAGUAAAGGAAGUCAAGGAAGAUAAAGAAUUGGCCUAGAUUAACCAACGUGUAUAUGUAACUGAUUAUUUUAUAUUUGACAUAAGGUCAGAUGGGGUAAGAUAAACAUAUUUAUUUUAUUUAUUCUAACAGUAUUACUGUGACACACUGUAGUUCAUUUCUUUUAACAUUAGAAUGAAGGUAAGCAAUGCUGACGUGUCUUUUUAUUAUAAAAACACUAGUGAAAAAUAAGUCGGGGCAAAUAUGUAACAAUUCAUAUUCAUUCAUAUAUUUAUUCAUAAUAAUUCAUAUUAUAUGUCACAAUAUUAUUUAAAAUUAAUUAUUUACAAAACAUGAUUUGUAACAUUUUACAUAAUAAUAAAAAAAUAAAAUUAAUAUUAAAUCUAAGUUUUUAGGUACUUGUUUUGUACUCUAUAAACUUAUUAAAGCUAUAAAAAGUGUGCUCGAUAAGCCAUUUUUCAGUUGCAUUUUAAAACUCAUUAAUGACGGCGCAUUCGCAAUUAAAAAUCAUAUAUGAUUAUUUACAUUCUUUUGGUUACAUAAAUAAUAUAAACAAAUUUUUAAAAAGCGUUUUGCGGUACAUGUGGUGCUACUUUACCGCACUAGUGCGAAAAUUAGCAUAUUACGUUACUGUGUCGAACAUUUAAAGGGCCAUAUGUACUGUAAAACGUUGUACGAUACAUGUGCGAAUAGGUAAUCCGCGACUCGUGUCGAUUUAAAACACUCCCUUCGAUCGUGUUUUAAUUUAUCGCCACUCGUUUCGAAUUUCCUAUUUUUCGCACUUGUAUCGUAAUGUACUAUUAUGCAACCGUUGUUUAAGAGAGGUCAAAAAAGUCGAGUAAAACUCUGAGAGUCUAUCGCGAAAAAAGAAAAUCUAAUUUUCGUUAUCUAACUUCUCUAUCACUCUUGCAUAUUUGAGCGAUAAAGAGGCAGAUAACUAAAUUUAGAUAUUCGCGUUUCCCUGUAGGCCGAUUGUAAACAAACCGCCUUGAUGCAUCAAUGUCAUAUUUUAUUAUCUGUGAAAACUUGUCAAAAUAGUUUACGGCACAGUAUGUAUAAGUUACUCUAUGGUUUACGAUAGGUGCUAGUGCUGCACUCUGGCGGCAGAACAUUGCGGUAAUACUCCCUAUUAACCUUUUGACCGCCAAAGACUUCAUAUGACGCGCGCGGCGACAGCCCAAUAUCAACCUUCAUGCGUACUGACAAGUUUCACGAUUACACGCCGCGUACGAUAGGCGUGGCGUUCAAAAGGUUAAUGGCGUUCCUUUGCACCACAGUGCGUGCUUAAGACACAUUUUUCAUGCGCCGAAAAAAAAUAACUAGAUAUGUUUGUCUUACCCCACAUGACUUUUAAUAAUAUGUUUACUCGGGUAUUUCCUAAUGGAAAUUAAAGUUUUCUUUAAUAGACGAUUAUUUUGACAUAAUAAAAGGCACCUAAGCUUUUUUUAUGCACGUGCCUAUUUAAAAUAAUAAAUUAUACCUGUUUUUAAACGUUUUUGUCAUGGCGUCAUUAUCCGUUUGCAAAUGAAAUUAUAUUUUUCUAAUAAUAACUUAAAUAUCAACGAUACGAUUUAAUUGUAUUCGUAAACAUUAUUGUGAAUACUAUUAAUUUUAACGCCACGACGCCGGGAUUUUAUUGAAUUAUUAAUUAUUUCAAUUUAAUUAGAAAUACAAUACAAUGUUAUCAGAACAACUAGUGAUAAUAAAUUAUUAUUUUUAUUUAUUUAUUUGUUUUACGUAAUACCAAAUGAACUAAAUAGCAAUAUUAUUAAUAGCCUUAAACAAAUUAAUAUAUAACAUAGAUUUUAUUAUAGAUUAAGCUCUUUCACCAUAUCCUGUAUUCGACUGCCAAUAUUGUGAUAUUUUUUUUAGCCUUUUAACCUAAAUAAAUGUCAUAUACGUAGAAAGUGACCAAGGCGCCCAGUGCCCAGGGCUGGAGUCGAACUAGUGUCCUCUGCCAUCGCGGCAGCUGCCGAACCCGUCGGCCCCCCGGGCCACGGCGACAUGGCUCGAAUUUUUCCAAGUAUAUGCCUUUUUACAGAGGCUGUCAAUACCUAAAGCGCGCACACUGUCUAUUUGUAUCGGAGUAAAUGCGAUAGCACUGUCGCAUGUUACUGGGCCUGGGCAAGGGAAUAAUAAGAAAAAUAUUUAAAUAAAAAAAAGUGGAUUAUUAGUGUAAUAUUUUACGCAACCACGGUUUAGAUAUAAAUGUUUUGAAAUUGUGAUUUUAAUUGCAGACCCAUAAGUCAAAACAAUAAAGACAUAAAACCGUUUAAUUGUGAUUUUAAGACCAAUCUUUGCAAUUAUUUUCUAUCGAGCCGAUUUCGUUCAAUCAUGUAUCGAGUACAACCACGGUCUUUGAAAUAUAAUUAAUAUGAACAUAUAUUUUUCUUACUUGACUAAAACAAAUAGUCUUUCUUAAAAAACUGUUUAAGUAACAUCAAUUUCAAGGACAUUGGGUGUUGACAGCCUCUUAACCAGUUGAUCGACACUAUUUUAUAUAAGUAACAAGCAAUAGUAAACUUUAUAAGUAUAAAGGUUCAUUGUAUACUGCAACCUUUGCUAUGGCUCACUGUAGAUCGCGUAGGGCUUUUUAUAAGUUCGUGUCAUCCGAGAUGACGCGCAGGUUUGUCAAAUCUAACCAUUAACAACAUGACAAUAGGAGUCAAGGCUCGCGUGGUUGUGAAUGGCACGAUCUGUAGAUCUACGAGAAUUGAAUAUAAUUUGUACCAUGAGAAAAGAACGAAAACCUCUUAUGCGGUCGACGCGAUUUUUUCCCCGAUUUGGGUUCAAAUCGGUUGACAGAUUGCACCGACAAGUUUAGGCAUAGAGAAAUAAGUUUAGAGUGCUCACUCUAUAAGGUAGAAGUACUAGUGCUCGACGCUGCACUAGUCACCGACAUGGGCACUUUAUUUCAUGGAAAUAUAGGUUAAAUUUGAACAACGAAGAUUUUUCUGUAUUAGAACUUAAUCCUUGUCACUUUGACAUAAAGUGCCCAUGUCGAGUACUAGUGCAGCGUCGAGCACUAGUACUUCUACCUUACAUGGCUUUCUUUACUUAUAAUAAGUAGUGCUUAUAUGAGGUAUGGUUAAACUUAUUAUUAACCUUUUAACCGCCGUAGUCUGAUUAUAAGACAUACAAUAUCCAGCUAAUUUCGCCGCGGUCUGAUAAAUAAAACAAAACUUCGUGUAACUUCGUAACGUCAGCGACAUGAGCACGUUUGAAGAAAAAUUCUAAGCGGUUAAAAGGUUAACUUUAAAACUUGCUUAAUAAUCAAUACUUAAUGAGCUUGAAUCGUAUGAUAAAUAAGUUUUUGGUAAACUCGCUAAAAGCCGCGUCCAGACAUGCGGUACUAAAUAUUGUAAGUAUUGUAGUAGUCGGCGAGACCCGCAUGUCUUCUGGACUUAUUAUAAAUGGGUUUUUAUUUAUGUAUGAAGUGAACAUUCUAUGAUUACUUAUUUCUCUAUGGUCCGAGUAUAUAUUGUAUCACCAAAAUAGGUCGAAAAUCAACGCAGAUGGGACGAUUUUAUCAUCGAUUUAUGUUCAAAUCGGUUGACAGAUCGCAAUGUUAACUUCUGGUAAAAUCGGCAAAUCUGUAGGUUGCUUAACCUUUUGAACGCCAAGAACACCUAAAAUCGUUACUUGUCGUGUCCACAGCGCCAAGGACGACUAUAGGUGUUAUGGCGGACGCCGUCGAAGUAACCUUCACACUUUCAAGUAAGGUUUACAUUAAAUCGCUUUCGCCCGUGAGUUUGGCGUUUAACCUCUGUGACGCUGGGUCAAACACAAAAGCUGUCACACGUCACCGAAGUGUCAAAACUGUUAUUUGAACUAUGAGCGUAGGUCUGUUGCUCUGUGGUAUGUGACGGAUUAAUCCGUCUUCGGCGUGGGGCCUUCGUAUAUUGGCGUCAAAAAGGUUAAGUGAAGUUUUUGGUCAUAACGUAAAGUGUUCCAAGGGUUAAAAUUAAAAACCUAUGUAUUUUUUUUACAGAUUUCUACGUGUUGGUAUAUUUAUUUUUGUAGACAAAUAGCUUUAUAUUAAUUUUACGUUUUAUAUAAAACGCGAUGAAGUAUUAUUUUACCAAAUGUAGCUAUAAUGUAUUGCACAAAUUCUUGUAUGACAACUGAUAUACAAAGUAAUAUAAGUUGUAUGUGUGUGUGUUAGAGAUUGCGUUUGAAAUAAUUCAAUAAAAUUGUUUAUCUA
Molecule: long non-coding RNA, 4721 nt
Organism: Cydia pomonella (codling moth)
Lineage: Eukaryota; Metazoa; Arthropoda; Insecta; Lepidoptera; Tortricidae
Exons: 2
Source: RefSeq, a predicted model, not a curated record